CUGCACCAAAAUGGAGGAAGGGUGGCACACUAUACUGCACCAAAAUGGAGGAAGGGUGGCACACUAUACUGCACCAAAAUGGAGGAAGGGUGGCACACUGUACUGCAACAAAAUGGAGGAUGAGUGGCACACUAUACUGCACCGAAAUGGAGGAAGGGUGGCACACUAUACUGCACCAAAAUGGAGGACGAGUGGCACACUGUACUGCAACAAAAUGGAGGAAGGGUGGCACACUAUACUGCACCAAAAUGGAGGACGAGUGGCACACUAUACUGCACCAAAAUGGAGGAUGAGUGGCACACUAUACUGCACCAAAAUGGAGGAUGAGUGGCACACUAUACUGCACCAAAAUGGAGGAAGGGUGGCACACUGUACUGCAACAAAAUGGAGGAUGAGUGGCACACUGUACUGCACCAAGUGUGUGGCCUCUCAUCAGACCUGGGUUGAAUACUGUUUAAAAUAUUUGAUGAAAGUGUUUGACCUGAGCUUGAUUCAGCUUGGAGUGUGUACUUUUGUAACUAUUCUAUUGGUUCAUGGAUUUCACUGUACCUGACUGACUAACUAAAUCAAGUGCAACUGAAAUAUGUAGCAGUAUAAAAUAUAUAUAUAUUUGUCACCAAUACAAUCAAGUAGCUUUUGGUAGGUUAUAUUGUGUUAUCCUUAAAAUGUUUUUGUUGUUGUUGGUCAUUCUAGUAGCUGACCUGUCUGGCCUUGAUCCUCUGCUGAAAGAGGUAGACCAGGAACUUGUUGAGCAUGUCCACAGUCUGAGACGAGAUAUCAGGACCACAGCCUGAGACGAGAUAUCAGGUCCACAGCCUGAGACGAGAUAUCAGGUCCACAGCCUGAGACGAGAUAUCAGGUCCACAGCCUGAGACGAGAUAUCAGGUCCACAGUCUGAGACGAGAUAUCAGGUCCACAGCCUGAGACGAGAUAUCAGGUCCACAGCCUGAGACGAGAUAUCAGGUCCACAGCCUGAGACGAGAUAUCAGGUCCACAGCCUGAGACGAGAUAUCAGGUCCACAGUCUGAGACGAGAUAUCAGGACCACAGCCUGAGACGAGAUAUCAGGUCCACAGCCUGAGACGAGAUAUCAGGUCCACAGCCUGAGACGAGAUAUCAGGUCCACAGUCUGAGACGAGAUAUCAGGUCCACAGCCUGAGACGAGAUAUCAGGUCCACAGCCUGAGACGAGAUAUCAGGUCCACAGCCUGAGACGAGAUAUCUCCUCUAGAGGGAUGGCAGGGUUAUAUUGAGAGAGAGAGAGAGAGAGAGAGAGAGAGAGAGAGAGAGAGAGAGAGAGAGAGAGAGAGAGAGAGAGAGAGAGAGAGAGAGACUGAAUGAUGCAGAAUGCUCUGAGUUGACUGGACUGAAUGAUGCAGAAUGCUCUGAGUUGACUGGACUGAAUGAUGCAGAAUGCUCUGAGUUGACUGGACUGAAUGAUGCAGAAUGCUCUCAGUUGACUGGACUGAAUGAUGCAGAAUGCUCUCAGUUUAAACUUUGAUCAACAAUGACAUUGUUGUGAAUUGUGAAACAGGCCGUUCGUAAAUUCCAAGCAUUAUCAUGUUCCUCAAUUAAUUCAGCGCAUUUCAGCAGUAAGCCUAGGCUAUCGCCACACCCGAGUAGGCUAUAGCGUUGUCAAAUCAUUCAAACGUUGUAAUUAAUGGAAAUCAAAAACAAAAGUCAAUUGACCAAAGUUGAUAAGCUUGAUAACCACCAACCAAAUGACAGAAUGUCUCCUAUUUGGCCAAUUGGAGUUGAUCAUUAUAUAGAUAGCAGAUCAGCUCAUUAAUAACGGAGACAUGAAGAGUGGAAAUAGUAAAAAUAUCAAGGUAUCUUAACGGGGAACAACUGUUUUAAAAAUAUAUCCAUCCCCACUUUCAUACAUUUUGUUGAUCACACAUUCUCUAACGAAGCUCUCAUUGGGACAGCAAUAGGAGACAGUGCAGAGAAGCUCUCAUAGGGACAGCAAUAGGAGACAGUGCAGAGAAGCUCUCAUAGGGACAGCAAUAGGAGACAGUGCAGAGAAGCUCUCAUUGGGACAGCAAUAGGAGACAGUGCAGAGAAGCUCUCAUUGGGACAGCAAUAGGAGACAGUGCAGAGAAGCUCUCAUAGGGACAGCAAUAGGAGACAGUGCAGAGAAGCUCUCAUUGGGACAGCAAUAGGAGACAGUGCAGAGAAGCUCUCAUAGGGACAGCAAUAGGAGACAGUGCAGAGAAGAUCUCACAGGGACAGCAAUAGGAGACAGUGCAGAGAAGAUCUCACAGGGACAGCAAUAGGAGACAGUGCAGAGAAGCUCUCACAGGGACAGCAAUAGGAGACAGUGCAGAGAAGCUCUCACAGGGACAGCAAUAGGAGACAGUGCAGAGAAGCUCUCACAAGGACAGCAAUAGGAGACAGUGCAGAGAAGUGGGGGAAAUGUUAUAGAGGUAUUCUGACAUGCAUAGGCAAGACGUGCUUUGAUAAUGCAACCUGUGGAUUACAGAAUAAAGUUAGGAACUUUCAUGCAAGACAGGAGUCAGGAUUUUGGGGUUCAGUGGGAUUGGGAUGACAGAAAAAUCAAUCUAUGUUCUAUAUGAAGAUAUAAGUGGGAUUGGGAUGACAGGAAAACAGUCUAUGUUCUAAAUAAGGAUGUGCGGCUUCUAGUGUGAGUCAACAUUUGAUUCAGGCUACAUUAUAACACGCUAAAUGUUUUGAAUAAAUGAGCUACCACUUCCACUUGUCCAGCCAGAGAUCAAUUAACCAAAUAUACAGACAGAGACUCAGUGAAACAAAAUCACAUUGAUUGAUUAUCAAGUCACAGAAUUCUGGUAGGAAGUAGGACAGGAUGAAGAGAAAAAUCCACGUGUAUAACACGCUAACAAAAUGUUCUGAUCAGCUAAUAUAUAACACGCUAGCAAAAUGUUCUGAUCAGCUAAUGUAUAAUACGCUAGCAAAAUGUUCUGAUCGGCUAAUAUAUAACAUGCUAACAAAAUGUUCUGAUCAGCUAAUAUAUAACACGCUAGCAAAAUGUUCUGAUCAGCUAAUGUAUAACACGCUAGCAAAAUGUUCUGAUAAGCUAAUGUAUAACACGCUAACAAAAUGUUCUGAUCAGCUAAUGUAUAACACGCUAGCAAAAUGUUCUGAUCGGCUAAUGUAUAACACGCUAACAAAAUGUUCUGAUCGGCUAAUGUAUAACACGCUAACAAAAUGUUCUGAUCAGCUAAUGUAUAACACGCUAACAAAAUGUUCUGAUCAGCUAAUGUAUAACACGCUAGCAAAAUGUUCUGAUCGGCUAAUGUAUAACACGCUAACAAAAUGUUCUGAUCAACAAAGAAUAAAAAUAAAUAAAAAAAUACAUGGUCAUUUUUACAUUGACGUGGGGGAGACGUGACUAAAUCGUAAAUGAAAAAACAUACAGUUCAUGCUAGGACAAAGAACACGCUAGCAAAAUAUUCUGAUCAGCUAAUAUAUGAGCAAACUAGAAAAAAUAUGAUAAUUAGCAAACACCUCAAUUUAGCUAACAUUUCCCCAAUCUAAUUGUUAACAAAUAUCCAAACGGAGAUUCAAUGAAAACAAAGAUGUGACAUGGAUUGAUUUAUCUAGACGAGUCCCCCACACUUGUCAACAUGUAUAAUGUAAGUGACCACACACAACUAUUGCUUUAAAUUAGUAUAACGGUUGGAUAUAAAUCAAAUGUAUUUAUAAAGCCCUUUUUACAUCAGCUGAUGUCUCAAAGUACUGUACAGAAACCCAGUCUAAAACCCCAAACAGCAAGCAAUGCAGGUGUAGGAGCACAGUGGCUAGGAAAAACUCCCUAGAAAGGCCAGAACCUAGGAAAAAACCUAGAGAGGAACCAGGCUAUGAGGGGUGGGCCGGGUGGAGAUUAUAACAGAACAUGGCCAAGAUGUUCAUAGAUGACCAGCAGGGUCAGAUAAUAAUAAUCAUAGUGGUUGUAGAGGGUGCAACAGGUCAGCACCUCAGGAGUAAAUGUCAGUUGGAUUGUCAUAGCCGAGCAUUCAGAGUUAGAGACAGCAGGUGCGGUUGAGAAAGAGAGAGUCGAAAACAGCACGUCCGGGACAAGGUAGCACGUCCGGUGAACAGGUCAGGGUUCCAUAGCCACAGGCAGAACAGUUGAAACUGGAACAGCAGCACGACCAGGUGGACUGGGGACAGCAAGGAGUCAGGUAGUCCUGAGGCAUGGUCCCAGGGCUCAGGUCCUCCGGGAGGGGAGGGAGAGAAUUAGAGGGAGCAGGAGCAUACUUAAAUUCACACAGGACACCGGAUAAGACAGGAGAAAAACUCCAGAUAUAACAGACUGGUCCUAGCCCCCAGUACAUAAACUAUUGCAGCAUAAAUACUGGAGGCUGAGACAGGAGGGGUCGGGAGCCACUGUGGCCCCGUCCGACGAUACCCCCGGACAGGUCCAACCAGGCAGGAUAUAACUCCACACACUUUGCCAAUGCACCAACUUACUACCCUGAGACAAGGCCGAGCAUAGCCCAUGAAGAUCUCCCCCACGGCACAAACCUGGGGGGUGCCAAUCUGGACAGGAAGAUCACGACGGCAUGGAAGAGCACCAGUAAGCCAGUGACUCAGCCCCUGUAAUAGGGUUAGAGGCAGAGAAUCCCAGUGGAGAGAGGGCAACCGGCCAGGCAGAGACAGCAAAGGCAGUUCGUCGUUCCAGUGCCUUUCCAUUCACCUUCACACCCCUGGGUCUUAGGACCUACUGAAGAGAUGAGUCUUCAGUAAAGACUUAAAGGUUGAGACCUUGGGAGUUUCUGUAUAGGCAAGAAUGUGAUACAUGCCUUCAAUUGCAUUAGCCUAUUUCAUUCCAAUUUGUUCAUCAUUCAGUUGAUCAUAACUAAGGGGAGUUUUCCUGUCUCUAAGCUUUUUCAAGGCCCAACGGCUGUUUCCUCAUCUCAAAUCAAAUCAAAUGUAUUUAUAAAGCCCUUCUUACAUCAGCUGAUAUCUCAAAGUGCUAUACAGAAACCCAGCCUAAAACCCCAAACAGCAAGUAAUGCAGGUGUAGAAGCACGGUGGCUAGGAAAAACUCCCUAGAAAGGCCAAAACCUAGGAAGAAACCUAGAGAGGAACCAGGCUAUGAGGGGUGGCCAGUCCUCUUCUGGUUGUGACGGGUGGAGAUUAUAACAGAACAUGGCCAAGAUGUUCAAAUGUUCAUAGAUGACCAGCAGGGUCAAAUAAUAAUAAUCACAGUGGUUGUUGAGGGUGCAACAGGUCAGCACCUCAGGAGUAAAUGUCAGUUGGCUUUUCAUAGCCGAUCAUUGAGAGUAUCUCUACCGCUCUUGCUGUCUCUAGAGAGUUGAAAACAGCAGGUCUGGGACAGGUAGCACGUCCGGUGAACAGGUCAGGGUUCCAUAGCCACAGGCAGAACAUUUGAAACUGGAGCAGCAGCACGACCAGGUGGACUGGGGACAGCAAGGAGUCAUCAUGCUAGGUAGUUCUGAGGCAUGGUCCUAGGGCUCAGGUCCUCCGAGAGAAAGAAAGAGAGAAAGAGAGAAUUAGAGAGAGCAUACUUAAAUUCACACAGGACACCGGAUAAGACAGGAGAAAUACUCCAGAUAUAACAGACUGACCCUAGCCCCCCGACACAUAAACUACUGCAGCAUAAAUACUGGAGGCUGAGACAGGAGGGGUUAGGAGACACUGUGGCCCCGUCCGAUGAUACCCCCGGACAGGGCCAAACAGGCAGGAUGUCUGUCUCCCCACUCCGCUGUAGCUCGCCUCCGCCACGUUGUUCUCAACACCAGUUUAAAUCAAUAUAGCCUACUGUUUUAUAGAAAUCUGGAUUUUUUGGAGGGGGUUCGGGCUCAUUUCAAUUCUGUGAUGUCGGGUCAGGGCUCAGGAUUCAGAUUCUUUGUCAGUCUGCUGUGAAGAGUGGUCUCGGGAUCCCGGUUACCGGUGUUAAUCCCUAGCCAGGCGGAAAGAUAAUGUUUCAGCAUCUAUAACUCAUGGGGGGGUAAAGAUAAUGUUUCAGCAUCUAUAACUCAUGGAGGAGGGGGGUAAAGAUAAUGUUUCAGCAUCUACAACUCAUGGAGGAGGGGGGGUAAAGAUAAUGUUUCAGCAUCUAUAACUCAUGGAGGAGAUACAGUAGGGUAAAUCCAUUUGAAUUUUGACAACUUUUUGACAGCACCUCGUUUGAUUUGAACAAAGACACAUAACUGUCCACGUGGGUCGCUACAAUAUAUUUUAAGGAAUAUAUAUAUGUUUUUGGAUGAUUCCCAAUGCUGCCUUGUUGACAACAUGACCGAGCGGUGCAGAUUACGGUCCGAUUGUAACGCCACUCCUCCCUCAUCGCUAUAUCAAACUAGCUAAUAAAUCAUGUUAUCAAUAAUGUGGUAGCUAGCUAAUACAGUAAGCUACCUUUCCAAUGCAAGAGUCUUCCCUGUGGCUCAGUUGGUAGAGCAUGGUGUUUGCAACGCCAGCAUGGUGUGUGCAACGCCAGGGUUAUGGGUUUCAUUCCCACGGGGGGGCCAGUAUAAAAUGUAUGCAUUCACUACUGUAAGUCGCUCUGGAUAAGAGUGUCUGCUAAAUGACUAAAAUGUAAAUUUAAGAGAAUAGUUUGCUCUAGAUUUACAUUGACCAGUGUUGUCAUGGAGUGACCGUAAUGGCAGACUGCAAUGUCAUGCUGAAUCAGAUAGAGGGCGCUGUGGUAUCAAUGUAGGAGCAGAGAUACAACAAUCACAUUUGUUUGGUUAUAACACAUAACUUUGGUAGUAUCUAUUUUUUAUUACCAGAAAGUGGAAAACCUCUUGCUCGUACCGAUGUCUUUGAGUACGUUUUUACAUGCGCACUAAUAAUUGUAUAUUAAACCGAUAGGCCAAGUUAGGAACUAGUCAUUUAAACACCUUACUCAAAUCAAACUUUGUGUCACAUGCGCCGAAUAUAACGUGUACAUCUUACCGUGAAAUGCUCACUUACAAGCCCUUAACAACAGUGCAGUUCAAGAAAGUUAAGAAAAUAUUUACCAAAUAAACUAAAGUAAAAAAAUAUAAAAACUCUGCUUAUCUUAAUCGGCGUAAAGUCAAAAGGUCAGGUCAAAAUCGAAGUAAACCGAUUACUCAGAAACCCAGGUGUUUUAAUGUCACAGAGGAAGAGGCGAAGCGAGAGGUUUCACUCUCACUAAAAAUAAACCCAAUG
Molecule: long non-coding RNA, 7135 nt
Filed under: Salmo salar (Atlantic salmon)
Lineage: Eukaryota; Metazoa; Chordata; Actinopteri; Salmoniformes; Salmonidae
Description: lncRNA (ENSSSAG00000095183.1)
Rfam family: UnaL2 LINE 3' element (bases 6484-6537)
Source: RNAcentral